This 331-nucleotide unclassified non-coding RNA is filed under the name soil metagenome. RNAcentral's name for it is "partial contains 5.8S ribosomal RNA, internal transcribed spacer 2, and large subunit ribosomal RNA". The stretch from base 1 to 120 matches the Rfam family "5.8S ribosomal RNA", at positions 35 to 154 of the family's 154-position model. The record is from RNAcentral.
GAUGAAGAACGCAGCGAAAUGCGAUAAGUAAUGUGAAUUGCAGAAUUCAGUGAAUCAUCGAAUCUUUGAACGCACAUUGCGCCCGCCAGUAUUCUGGCGGGCAUGCCUGUUCGAGCGUCAUUUCAACCAUCAAGCCCCAGGCUUGUGUUGGGGGCCUGCAGCUGCUGCAGCCCCCUAAAAGCAGUGGCGGACUCGCUGUCAUACCGAGCGCAGUAGUUACAUCUCGCUCUGGGCAUGGCGGCGGGCACCUGCCGUAAAACACUCUUUCUAAGGUUGACCUCGGAUCAGGUAGGAAUACCCGCUGAACUUAAGCAUAUCAAAAAGCGGAGGA